AUUGAACGCUGGCGGCAGGUCUAACACAUGCAAGUCGAGCGGAUGAAGGGAGCUUGCUCCUGGAUUCAGCGGCGGACGGGUGAGUAAUGCCUAGGAAUCUGCCUGGUAGUGGGGGAUAACGUCCGGAAACGGGCGCUAAUACCGCAUACGUCCUGAGGGAGAAAGUGGGGGAUCUUCGGACCUCACGCUAUCAGAUGAGCCUAGGUCGGAUUAGCUAGUUGGUGGGGUAAAGGCCUACCAAGGCGACGAUCCGUAACUGGUCUGAGAGGAUGAUCAGUCACACUGGGACUGAGACACGGUCCAGACUCCUACGGGAGGCAGCAGUGGGGAAUAUUGGACAAUGGGCGAAAGCCUGAUCCAGCCAUGCCGCGUGUGUGAAGAAGGUCUUCGGAUUGUAAAGCACUUUAAGUUGGGAGGAAGGGCAGUAAGUUAAUACCUUGCUGUUUUGACGUUACCAACAGAAUAAGCACCGGCUAACUUCGUG
Molecule: ribosomal RNA, 484 nt
Filed under: uncultured bacterium
Lineage: Bacteria
Description: partial 16S ribosomal RNA
Rfam family: Bacterial small subunit ribosomal RNA
Source: RNAcentral